UAAUAUUUAAGUUUGGUACAGCAUGAGACUUUUCAUCUCAGGGUCAUGGGUUCAAGCCCCAUGCUGGGCUAAA
Non-coding RNA from Podarcis lilfordi (Lilford's wall lizard), 73 nucleotides. NCBI's taxonomy places the organism in Eukaryota, Metazoa, Chordata, Lepidosauria, Squamata, Lacertidae. The record is from the annotation of a GenBank genome assembly.